Molecule: ribosomal RNA, 118 nt
Filed under: Pteropus alecto (black flying fox)
Lineage: Eukaryota; Metazoa; Chordata; Mammalia; Chiroptera; Pteropodidae
Source: RNAcentral
GUCUAUGGCCAUGCCACCCUGAACGUGUCUGAUCUUGUCUGAUCUCAGAAGCUAAGCAGGGUCGGCCUGGUUAGUACUUUGAUGGGAGACCACCUUGUAAUACCAGGUGCUGUAGGCA